Molecule: transfer RNA, 66 nt
Filed under: Dianemobius fascipes
Lineage: Eukaryota; Metazoa; Arthropoda; Insecta; Orthoptera; Trigonidiidae
Description: tRNA-Ala
Rfam family: tRNA
About the family: Transfer RNA (tRNA) molecules are approximately 80 nucleotides in length. Their secondary structure includes four short double-helical elements and three loops (D, anti-codon, and T loops). Further hydrogen bonds mediate the characteristic L-shaped molecular structure. tRNAs have two regions of fundamental functional importance: the anti-codon, which is responsible for specific mRNA codon recognition, and the 3' end, to which the tRNAs corresponding amino acid is attached (by aminoacyl-tRNA synthetases). tRNAs cope with the degeneracy of the genetic code in two manners: having more than one tRNA (with a specific anti-codon) for a particular amino acid; and 'wobble' base-pairing, i.e. permitting non-standard base-pairing at the 3rd anti-codon position.
Source: RNAcentral
AGGGUUAUAGUUAACUAUAACAUUUAAUUUGCAAUUAAAAGGUAUUGACAUGUUCAAUUAACCUUA